Molecule: long non-coding RNA, 393 nt
Organism: Bombyx mori (domestic silkworm)
Lineage: Eukaryota; Metazoa; Arthropoda; Insecta; Lepidoptera; Bombycidae
Exons: 2
Source: RefSeq, a predicted model, not a curated record
GCGUGUGUGCAGCGGCGGCAGCGGCGGCGGCUGCAACAGCGGCUGCAACAGCGGCUGCAGCGGCUGCCUCGACGCAAUGGACACCGGCUCACGUACCGGAUGUCGCGAAGGCCCUCCCCGUUCCUGUUGCUCUCACUAAUGGGACAGCUAAUAGUAGUCCCUCAGAAUAUAAUGGAACCAUUGAAUACAAUUGUAAAGGUUCGUACCAAAAACAUUUGAAUUUGGAAAACCUACGAGGGAUUGUCGCUAUUUCUCGCGCAAUUAGCGACGGUCACAGUCGAACGUACCCAGGCUACACUAAUAUGUCAUAUCAUAAGUAUUGUAGUAAUUUAUGAUUUCUUCUCUUCUUUUAACAAAUGCUUGAAAUGUAAAUAUAUUAUUAUUAUAAUACGA